UUAUUGUCGCUUUAAUGAGUGUGAAAUCUACAGUUACGGUCGCUUUAAUGAGUAUGAAACUUGCAGUUAUUGUCGCUUUAAUGAGUUUGAAAUCUACAGUUACGGUCGCUUUAAUGAGUGUGAAAUCUUUAGUUACGGUCGCUUUAAUGAGUAUGACACUUACAGUUAUUGUCGCUUUAAUGAGUGUGAAAUCUACAGUAACGGUCGCUUUAAUGAGUGUGAAAUCUUAAGUUACGGUCGCUUUAAUGAGUGUGAAAUUUGCAGUUAUUGUCGCUUUAAAUUAUCAGGAAGCUUGUGAGUGAAUGUGUGAACGUUUUUAUUAAUGAUAUUGAUUUCGACCAUUUUUAUAUUUUGACAGCAUUUUGACACACAUAAGUUUUAAAUUAAAAGUUUUAAUUCUUAUUAUUAACAUACGUGGUCCGUUGGUAUUUUCAGAUGUUUUGAAUAUCAUGUUUCUUAUUUUCGUCGCUUUCCAUUUGAUUUUAAACACGACGAAGAUUGUUAUGUACAUUGUAUCUAUCUCCCAAUGUAACGUUUUCACUUUGUGAGUACUUCUUGUGUUAUUAGCUUUACACUUGAAAUCCAUUAUUGUUGAUCAUUUGUUUACGUUAUAUUAAUAUAUAUUAUUACCUGGUUACGUUUUACAUGGUUUUUGUGGAUUUUUGAUUUUUAAGUCUGAAAGUAUUUUACUAAGACAAUCCUUAAUAUAAUGACUUUCGUAAAAACAAUACUGAAAAAUAUAAAUUAUUAAUUUUGUUGUUUAUUUUCAAUACACAGCGACGUAUAAAAAGGAAAAUGAAACUUAGCGGAAAAUGAUGAUUUAUUAAGAACCUUGUUUCGGCUUCGAGGAAUUUCUUCAGGUGGUUUUGAAUACACAACUAGGAAAUUAUUUAUUCCCGAACAUUAAAACGUUUCGUAACCUAGGAGAAUUCUAGAUAAAAACAGCAUUUUCUGACCGUAUGUAUUUAUUGGGUACGUUAUUUCACAUUAGAUAAUAUCGGAGUGAUUGACUUUCUGUUUAUGGUUGUGCGUUAGUAAACGUCAAAUAACAGAUACGGCUGUGUGUUGAUAAAUGUUAAAUUGAUUUAUAUUGAGAUCAAAUUUCCAUAUGUGCUUUAAUGAAGAUCAAAGUGUUUGUUAUUAAGGUAUAUUUUCCAUAUGUGUCAGCAAAGGUCAAAUUCCAUAUAUGGUUGUGUGUCAGUAAAGGUCAAAUUCCAUAUAUGGCUGUGUGUUAGUAAAGGUAAAAUAUCCAUACAUUUUGUAUAUGGUUGUGCGUUGAUAAAUAUCAAAUAUCCAUAUAUUUUUGCGUGUUGGUAAAGGUCAAAUUCCAUAUAUGAUUGUGUUGGUAAAUGUCAAAUUCCAUAUAUGGCUGUGUGUCAGUAAAGGUCAAAUUCCAUAUAUGGCUGUGUGUCAGUAAAGGUCAAAUUCCAUAUAUGAAUGUGUGUUGGUAAAUGUCAAAUAUCCUUAUGACUGUUUCCCAAAAUGGGAACGAAAUGAAGCGAAACGCGUUAUUUAUGAAAAUACGAAAUUGGUGAAUAAAUUAUUGCCCCGUGUUUAUACUGUAUUGGAAGGCUGUAGUUUACUUCGAAUUGUUGUAGUUGUGAAUUGAAAUUGUCCUUCAGUGAUGUCAUACAUGUUAUGGCCUGUUCAGCAUUUUUUAAAGAUUUGUAAUACACAAUUUUCUGAAAAUGAAAA
Long non-coding RNA from Pecten maximus, 1695 nucleotides. RefSeq lists it as uncharacterized. The record is from RefSeq and is a predicted model, not a curated record. The transcript has 2 exons. NCBI's taxonomy places the organism in Eukaryota, Metazoa, Mollusca, Bivalvia, Pectinida, Pectinidae.